Long non-coding RNA from Xenia sp. Carnegie-2017, 290 nucleotides. RefSeq lists it as uncharacterized. The record is from RefSeq and is a predicted model, not a curated record. Lineage: Eukaryota; Metazoa; Cnidaria; Anthozoa; Malacalcyonacea; Xeniidae. The transcript has 2 exons.
AAGUAGUUCUGUCUUUUAAAAAAUACUCUUCAUUAUUUAUAGAAGGUUUAUUGUUUUUAUUGCAGAUUGUGGCAUCUUCAACUAGUCUAUUCAUCAACAUUGCACGACAAUUUCAAAAAAAGUAUUCGAAUUGGAAACAGUCAGCCGCAGUCCAGUGACACCGACGGCUCUGAAUGGAUUCCCGAUCCAGUAAGUCUGUUCUUCCUUCUUCCAUGUUAAAACGUAAAAUGAUGAACUGUUUUGAUAACUAAACACGAAGCCAAUAAAAUCGUUGUCGUGUGUAGAAUCCA